UUUGGCUUUGUAUUUAUAUGAAAUAUUACUGAUGAUUGCCUUAAGAAAGACGCAAGUUCCUAGGAGUCUGUAGGAGUUUACAACUGUACCAUUUGCUUUGCACAGCACUUCAAGUUAUUUUCAGUACUUAAUGAUGCAGACCCUGAGAGGUUAUAAAAUUUUUGCUGCUACUUACAGAGCUGAUUUAAUCACUGAGAUGGUAAAAACACCUGAGAUUUGUGGCAGAUAUCUGUACAGUUUGUAAAAAUUAAAAAGCUAUAUAUAUAAUAAUCUCGUAAGUUUUCUUUGUUUUGUAGGGGACGUAUUCACUGGGAGCUUUAGGAUAAUGCAUUUGUGGAGACUGGAACUGAAAAUGUUAAUACUAUUGUAAGGUUUUUUCCUCUGUGGACUGAGAAAGCAAGGCCCUUUCCAGGUCAUGCUUCAAAGAUUAAUGUUUGUGGAUGUUCUCCAAAUCAUCUGCCUUUAUGCUGGUUAUCAGAGCGUAAUCAACACUGUUUUCUUGCUGGAAUGUCCCUUGGUCUGUUUUUAGCAGGUUACAGCAGUACCAGUGGAAGGGAAUGAAUAGUCAGUUUUGAUUGUUCAUCUUUAAAAACUGCUGCUUCAGUAGCAUGCGUAAGUACAGCAGUCGAACAUGCGCGUUAAUCAGAUGCUAUGAAGCAUGUGGAGGGGAAGCCCCAAGCCAUAUUUGAAACUAUCAAGUUUCUGACUAGUUGUUGAAUGCAUGUAGAUUUAUAAGAGCCCCAUGGAGACAGUUGCCUUACUACAUAAUGCCUUAGCGAUGAUUAAAUAGAAACAAAGGAUAACUAGAAAUAGAAAAGAACAAGGAGAAACUCAGAGUAGUUCACAGCUGUAAAACACAAAAAAAUACCCAUCCUCCUAAGAUACCAUUCCUCCUUCCCAAAGCGGAAUUUUCCUGCUUUGAAGUUAUCUUGAGAAGACACAAUUUGCAAUUUGCCCAAGAGGUCAGCAGGCCCAAUCUAUUGUACUGGAGGGUAAGGAGGUGGUUUCAAAGCUGAGAGCCCCUCGGGAAGAAUGGUCUGCAAGUGUCUUACUUUCUUUUGAAUAAAGUGUGACCUCCACUGGUCGCUGUUGUAUUC
This 1097-nucleotide long non-coding RNA is filed under the name Anser brachyrhynchus (Pink-footed goose). RNAcentral describes it as "lncRNA (ENSABRG00000005845.1)". The record is from RNAcentral. Lineage: Eukaryota; Metazoa; Chordata; Aves; Anseriformes; Anatidae.